CGCGCCGCGCGCAGGGGGCGGAGCCGGGAGCGGCCCCGCCCCCGCCCCCGCCCCGCCCCCCCGGCCCGUUCUGGGGGCGCUGCCUGGGCGGGGCCGGGGAAUAUCAGCGGGGCUGGACUGAUCUGAAGUGCCGCGAGCGGCCAGCUGGGUGAGGUGACGCUGUGGCUGGACCGUGUCCGUUGGUGGAAGAGAAGCGUUGGAGCUCCACAGAGCUUCUCCUCAGGUCGGGGAAGGUUCCGAGUGGAGCCGAAGCGUGAGAAAUUAACCCCUGUCGCCAGACGCUCUUCCAGCUGAAGUGGGCCGUGACCGCCGCUGCGCUCGUCGGAGAAUUCGUGGAUUACAGAUGGUUCCAGUGAGACCUGUAACCAGCGUCUCUCUUUUUUUCUUGGUUUGGUUGUUGAGAGCCCGAUUUGUAGAGUCUAGCAACGUUAUGCAUUUCAGCUCCCAGGCUCGUCUUUUGAAGGGGUUUUGCAGGUUUCCUUCGCGGGCUCGGCCUGAGAGGGAUGGCUUGAAGCUCACAUCCGCAACUGACAGCCUGUCACCAUGAUUCAAAAUUGAAGAUGUUUCCAGUACAAAGGACGGAAUGAUUAAAGGAGGUAAGAAAAUCACUUGAGACUCUCUCUCUCUCCCUUUUUUCUGGGCUCAUGACAUCAACAACUCCUGAAGAACGGAACUUGGGCAGCAGGAAAGGGUGAGGGGAGCCCUGGCGGAAAGGGCCGCCAGCCUGUCUCAGCAUAUGGGGAAAGAAACAUUUGCUUUGAAUCCGUUUUAGUUUGUUAACUUAGACGUUAGCUUGUGUUUUAUCUUGCAUUUCUUUUGUAAACAAUUCUGAUUUUUAUGCCUCAUUACCCGUCGUCACUUAAAAUCUUUUCUUUCGGUGGUUAAUAAACCUGUUUUAACUAACCAGUGUGUUUGGAUUAAAGUGUACGGGAAACUCCAUUUGGGAUAAUAAGGCUUAUGUAUGUCAUUUUCCAUUGACGAAAUGACAGACUUUAUAGGAGUAUCCAUAGUGUGCUGGAUACUGCAAGAAGCACGUUUCCGGGGAAAAGUCUCAGACGAGUGAAUUUGCUAGUAUUGUCCCCUGGAAUAAUUUCUGAGUGGCUGACUAAUAUAGUGUUUCUCAAAUGUGGUCACCAGGGGCUUUUCUUACUGCCACAGCAUCCUGGGUGGUGAUUGGGGGAGGUAAAGCAGCAGCCUAUCCCCCAGGGCUGGCAGCAGGGAUUGGGCCCUGUCCCCAUUUCUGGGCAUGGUGGGGCUCGGGCUUCAGCCCUGGGGUGGCAGACUCUGGUCGUGGGGGUUCAGGCUCAAGCCACACAGCAGCGGGCCUCAUUCCAGGCACUCCAGCUGUGGGACCCCAAGAUGCAGCCGUGGGGCUUACGGCCCCGGCAUGCGGGGGGUGCCGGUUCCGGGCUCAACACCCCACAUCUCCCCUGGCCCCUGCUACCUCUUCAGGGUCUGGUCCCUGGCUUCAGCUGGGCAGUGACAGGCUCCGGCCCUGGGAUCCAGCUGUGGGGCUUUGGGCUCUGGUCCUGGCCACAUGGUAGUGGGUGCCAGCCUGGGCUCAAGUCCCCCUCCCCAUUGCCCCUGGCGCCCACUAAGGGCUCCGGUCCCCUGCUGCAGGACUUCAGGCUCCAGCCCUGGGUCCCGGCCACAGGGCUUUGGGCCCUGGCCACACGACAGUGAGUGCCAGCCCCAGUCUCACCCCCAU
This is a long non-coding RNA of Chelonia mydas (Green sea turtle), 1708 nucleotides long. RefSeq lists it as uncharacterized. The transcript is spliced from 3 exons. The record is from RefSeq and is a predicted model, not a curated record. NCBI's taxonomy places the organism in Eukaryota, Metazoa, Chordata, Testudines, Cheloniidae.